RNAcentral lists this ribosomal RNA (250 nucleotides) under uncultured prokaryote. RNAcentral's name for it is "partial 16S ribosomal RNA". It matches the Rfam family "Bacterial small subunit ribosomal RNA", at positions 524 to 773 of the family's 1533-position model. The record is from RNAcentral.
UACAUAGGUCCCGAGCGUUAUCCGGAAUUACUGGGCGUAAAGUGUCCGUAGCCUGAUAUGUAAGUCUGUUUUCAAAUACCAUGGCUUAACCAUGGAGAGGGAAUAGAUACUGCAUAUCUGGAAGUUCUUGGGGGUUAGUGGAAUUUCCGGUGGAGCGGUGAAAUGUGUUGAUAUCGGAAAGAACGCCGAAAGCGAAAGCAGCUAACUACAAUAAACUUGACGGUAAGGGACGAAAGCUUGGGGAGCGAAC